CAUGACCCAAUGGCUCCAGAAAUCAAGGGUGGGUAAGACCUCGUAAGAACAGUUGAAGGCGACCCAUACUUGGUUUCAGGGGCUUUGAGGGUAUAGUC
This 98-nucleotide microRNA precursor is filed under the name Alligator mississippiensis (American alligator). Its description in RNAcentral is "microRNA ami-mir-551 precursor (ami-mir-551-2)". Its record names the gene ami-mir-551-2. The stretch from base 11 to 85 matches the Rfam family "mir-551 microRNA precursor family". The record is from miRBase by way of RNAcentral. Lineage: Eukaryota; Metazoa; Chordata; Crocodylia; Alligatoridae.